CGUGUAGGCGGCUAGGUAGGUCCGCUGUGAAACUCGAGGCUCAACCUCGAGAUGUCGGGUGGAAACCAUCUGGCUAGAGUCCGGAAGAGGAGAGUGGAAUUCCUGGUGUAGCGGUGAAAUGCGCAGAUAUCAGGAAGAACACCCGUGGCGAAGGCGGCUCUCUGGGACGGUACUGACGCUGAGACGCGAAAGCGUGGGGAGCGAACA
This 207-nucleotide ribosomal RNA is filed under the name uncultured bacterium. RNAcentral's name for it is "partial 16S ribosomal RNA". It matches the Rfam family "Bacterial small subunit ribosomal RNA", at positions 568 to 774 of the family's 1533-position model. The record is from RNAcentral.